RNAcentral lists this ribosomal RNA (405 nucleotides) under uncultured bacterium. RNAcentral describes it as "bacterial SSU rRNA". It matches the Rfam family "Bacterial small subunit ribosomal RNA", at positions 356 to 773 of the family's 1533-position model. The record is from RNAcentral.
GGGGAAUAUUGCACAAUGGGCGAAAGCCUGAUGCAGCAACGCCGCGUGAGGGAUGACGGCCUUCGGGUUGUAAACCUCUUUUAGUGGGGAAGAAGCGAAAGUGACGGUACUCACAGAAAAAGCACCGGCUAACUACGUGCCAGCAGCCGCGGUAAUACGUAGGGUGCAAGCGUUGUCCGGAAUUAUUGGGCGUAAAGAGCUCGUAGGCGGUUUGUCGCGUCUGCUGUGAAAUCCCGAGGCUCAACCUCGGGCGUGCAGUGGGUACGGGCAGGCUAGAGUGCGGUAGGGGAGAUUGGAAUUCCUGGUGUAGCGGUGGAAUGCGCAGAUAUCAGGAGGAACACCGAUGGCGAAGGCAGAUCUCUGGGCCGCUACUGACGCUGAGGAGCGAAAGCAUGGGGAGCGAAC